RNAcentral lists this ribosomal RNA (500 nucleotides) under uncultured bacterium. RNAcentral's name for it is "partial 16S ribosomal RNA". It matches the Rfam family "Bacterial small subunit ribosomal RNA", at positions 30 to 523 of the family's 1533-position model. The record is from RNAcentral.
AUUGAACGCUGGCGGAAUGCUUUACACAUGCAAGUCGAACGGCAGCACGGACUUCGGUCUGGUGGCGAGUGGCGAACGGGUGAGUAAUGUAUCGGAACGUGCCCAGUCGUGGGGGAUAACGUAGUGAAAAUUACGCUAAUACCGCAUACGAUCUAUGGAUGAAAGCGGGGGAUCGCAAGACCUCGCGCGAUUGGAGCGGCCGAUAUCAGAUUAGGUAGUUGGUGGGGUAAAGGCCCACCAAGCCAACGAUCUGUAGCUGAUCUGAGAGGACGACCAGCCACACUGGAACGGAGACACGGUCCAGACUCCUACGGGAGGCAGCAGUGGGGAAUUUUGGACAAUGGGCGAAAGCCUGAUCCAGCCAUGCCGCGUGCAGGAUGAAGGGCCUCGGGUUGUAAACUGCUUUUGUACAGAACGAAAAGGUUUCUACUAAUACUAGGAGCUCAUGACGGUACUGUAAGAAUAAGCACCGGCUAACUACGUGCCAGCCGCCGCGGUAA